Molecule: ribosomal RNA, 497 nt
Filed under: uncultured bacterium
Lineage: Bacteria
Description: partial 16S ribosomal RNA
Rfam family: Bacterial small subunit ribosomal RNA
Source: RNAcentral
GAUGAACGCUGGCGGCGUGCCUAAUACAUGCAAGUCGAGCGAACGGACGAGAAGCUGGCUUCUCGGAUGUUAGCGGCGGACGGGUGAGUAACACGUGGAUAACCUACCUAUAAGAUUGGGAUAACUUCGGGAAACCGGUGCUAAUACCGGAUAAUAUUUUGAACCGCAUGGUUCAAAAGUGAAAGACGGUCUUGCUGGCACUUAUAGAUGGAUCCGCGCUGCAUUAGCUAGUUGGUAAGGUAACGGCUUACCAAGGCAACGAUGCGUAGCCGACCUGAGAGGGUGAUCGGCCACACUGGAACUGAGACACGGUCCAGACUCCUACGGGAGGCAGCAGUAGGGAAUCUUCCGCAAUGGGCGAAAGCCUGACGGAGCAACGCCGCGUGAGUGAUGAAGGUCUUCGGAUCGUAAAACUCUGUUAUUAGGGAAGAACAUAUGUGUAAGUAACUGUGCACAUCUUGACGGUACCUACUCAGAAAGCCACGGCUAACUACGUG